Molecule: long non-coding RNA, 839 nt
Organism: Cryptotermes secundus
Lineage: Eukaryota; Metazoa; Arthropoda; Insecta; Blattodea; Kalotermitidae
Exons: 2
Source: RefSeq, a predicted model, not a curated record
CAUCUUAUGAUAGUUUAGGUUGGCUGUAUAUGCAGCCUCCAUGUUUUUCUGUAUGUUUAAAAGACACUGACAUUUGUUCUUCCGCCCACUAUGUAGUGAUUCGUUCUACUGGAGUCCAGUUUGCUCUAGCAAAGUUUGCUACUGCACGUGUUAUAUUGUAACUAUAAUAGACAUUUCAUAUUAUGCAGAGACCCUCGAUAUGCAACUCAAGUGUUCAGUAUCCCAAUAUCUGCUCAGGAACAAGAACUAUAUUCUUAAUUCAACAGCUAAGGGGAAACAACCUGGGUGUGAGAUGGCUGGUUAAAAAUCAACAAUUAUGGAACAAGAAAUAAAAUAGGACAAAUUAAAUCUAACGUUGCUAUUGUAACAUGUCCUGCUGAACAGGACUGUAGCCUACUGAACAUUAUACACUACACAUGACUGCAAUCUGAUUGAAAGCAAAAAGCAGUUUCAAACUUACUUCUGCUGUCUGAAUUCAAGAUGCUCGAUUUCAUUCAGUAUGCUGUUUUGUGAACUUACAUUAGAUUCAGGUUACAAAAAAGUUAAUGAGCUGAUGAAAUAUAAUUACACUGGUACCCAUAUUUAAGGUUUUCCUCAUUUAACAUCCAAUUUCAAUGAUCCCAAGUAAAUAAGCCCAAUGUUAAAUUAUCUCCAUUUAACGUUUUGUGCAGAUUAUUGUCUAAAGAUACUCAUUUAAAAAGAAAACUUAAGUGUGCAGGUUUCAAUGUAUACAUAACUGUGUAGCAAUAACAUGUGCUUCUAUUCUGCCUUGCUCCCAAACAUGUGCAAUAAUGCCAGAAAAUCAAUGGGCAAAUACCCAUUUCUGGCCAGCAGUUCAA